This 385-nucleotide unclassified non-coding RNA is filed under the name uncultured bacterium. RNAcentral describes it as "contains 16S-23S intergenic spacer region". The record is from RNAcentral.
UCGCGGCUUAUCACCGGCAGUCCCCUUAGAGUGCCCAACUAAAUGAUGGCAACUAAGGGCGAGGGUUGCGCUCGUUGCGGGACUUAACCCAACAUCUCACGACACGAGCUGACGACAGCCAUGCAGCACCUGUGCUCUCGCCCCUUGCGGGAAGGAAGCUGUCUCCAUCUCUGGAGCUGUCCGAUGUUGUCUAGCCCAGGUAAGGUUCUUCGCGUUGCGUCGAAUUGAACCACAUGCUCCACCGCUUGUGCGGGCCCCCGUCAAUUCCUUUGAGUUUCAACCUUGCGGUCGUACUCCCCAGGCGGGGUACUUCCUGCGUUAGCGCCGGCACCCAGAGGGUCGCUCCCCCAGGCACCUAGUACCCAUCGUUUACGGCGUGGACUAC